UCCGUAGGUGAACCUGCGGAAGGAUCAUUAUUGAAUAAACCUGAUGUGGUUGUUGCUGGCUCUCUAGGGAGCAUGUGCACACCCGUCAUCUUUAUAUUUCCACCUGUGCACCUUUUGUAGACCCAGAGGACUUGAGCAAUCGAGUCGUUUGGGCCUAUGUCUUAUCAUAUACCCCAUAGUAUGUAUUAGAAUGUAUCAGUGGGCUUCGUGCCUAUAAACACUAUACAACUUUCAGCAACGGAUCUCUUGGCUCUCGCAUCGAUGAAGAACGCAGCGAAAUGCGAUAAGUAAUGUGAAUUGCAGAAUUCAGUGAAUCAUCGAAUCUUUGAACGCAUCUUGCGCUCCUUGGUAUUCCAUGGAGCAUGCCUGUUUGAGUGUCACGUAAACCCUCACCCUGGUGAUGUCUAACGUCGCCUGUGGUGGAUUUGGACCGUGCCGUAAUUGGCUCGUCCUGAAAUGCAUUAGCUUGCGCUUUUUAGAGUGCUCGGCAUGGUGUGAUAAUUAUCUGCGCCAUUGCCUUAGGGCCUCUUCUGGUGGUGGCGGCUGGCUUCCAAUGGUCCCUUGGUGGGACAACAUAUUUUAAGGCUUUGGGGCCUCAAAUCAGGGGGUAGGGGGGACUACCCGGGCUGAACUUAA
This 636-nucleotide ribosomal RNA is filed under the name uncultured fungus. RNAcentral's name for it is "eukaryotic LSU rRNA". The stretch from base 227 to 380 matches the Rfam family "5.8S ribosomal RNA". Lineage: Eukaryota; Fungi. The record is from RNAcentral.